Molecule: long non-coding RNA, 1630 nt
Organism: Triticum aestivum (bread wheat)
Lineage: Eukaryota; Viridiplantae; Streptophyta; Magnoliopsida; Poales; Poaceae
Exons: 2
Source: RefSeq, a predicted model, not a curated record
UCCUUUUCCUUUUUGCAUUUUUUUCUUUUUAAUUUUUUAGAUUGCUUGCGUUGGCAAAUGGAAUAAAGACUCAGAAUCCUAGAUUUCUACUUUCUAUCAGAAGCGUGUAACUGAUCUGUAAGCUCACCAGCCAAGCUGUCCAUUUGGAUUUCAGUAGAUAUAUGGAGUAUAUUUACUCACAUUGUCCAUGACUUGUUUGAAGAAAUUUCUCUUCUGAUUUGGUAUUGCAUUGUUGAGCACUUACUGUGAAUUACAUGCAGCAUGUGUAUGUUCUAUAGCUUCUAUUAUACAGUUUUCCUUCUUUUUUUCAGGUUGUCCAGAUGAGCACUGGCCACUGGGAAAUGGCAACUUGGUUGAACUGAAUCAGCUCUAAUCUCCCAAAUUUGUGCAUUUAUCUUAAAAAACACUGCAGUGCUACCUCCCCGUAGUAAUAAAUAAGUAUAUUAUGAAGCUCAUAUAUGAUUAUUACUAUUAUUUUUGCACGUUCAGUCAAUUCCACUGAUAAAUCAUUUAUGCAUUUUUAGAACAAGCAUCAAGCAUCAUGUGGCAUUAUAGUCAUUGAUGAAGAUUGACAAUGCACUCAAAUACAAGACUUAUGAUGGUGUUUGGUGACUGAUAAAGAUGAUUGGAAAGGUGCUUUCCAGGCAUAAGGGUGACAGUUUGUACAUCUAGGGAACCAGGGCAAUUUGGACAUGUGAUAUUUCCUCGAGUAAGCAAACUUCUUUUGUAUGGCCCAGCCUGAUGAUCAACACCCAUCUGGUUUUAUAUGGUGCCACUUUUGUUGUAUACAACAAGCAACUAUUCAUUUUGUGUGCCUUGCAACAACAUCAUAAUCUCAUUAAACCUGCAAUAGAUCACACAUUCAGUACAUUUCAAUUUCUAAUUAGUCUAGACCGUGAAGUAUCUGUUUUUUUAACAUAACAGGGUUAUCUGAUCAUAUAAUCUGUCACAAGUAGUAAGGGUGGGUAGAUGAGCAAAUUUUCCCAGAUGGCAAGAUAUCUAUACAAAUUAUGGAACUUGAAUCUGAACAUUGGAGAAGUGGACAGUGGACGAGACUACCAUUGUUAUAUAUAAUUAUAGUGAUAUUCAAAGCUAUUUUUUUGUCUUAAUGUAAAGUUUAUCGCAGACAGACAUCCACCCAGAAACACACACAUGAGACAUGACACACACACUUCCUUUUGGAUUUGCCGGUUCUAUGUUACCUCGGGAGCACAAAACUUGAGUAAUUAUAGCAAAACAAUUCAAAGAUGAGACUACGAACCAACCUGUGGGUGGAUGGUUAGAGGUACUGUGGUAUCUCCAGCCCAUCAGGGUUCAAAUCCUGGUGCUCGCAUUUAUUUCUGGAUUUAUUUCAAGAUUUCCGGUUAUGCGCAUUCAGUGGGAGGAGACGUUCCCGUUGACGACGAGGUGCCUACGGACUUCGUAAAUUUCAAAAUGACAUGCCGGCUCAGUCUUUCGGAGAUGCUCAUAGGGGUAAGGUGUGCGUGUGUGCGUUCAUAGAGGUAAGUGUGUGCGCGUGUACAUGAGCGCUUGUGUUUGUACUGAUGUUCAAAAAAAAUUGAAGGACGAAACUACUGGACAGUGCAGAAUACCUCUUUAUUCCCAUAUAAAGGACACAUAUUCCUUGCGA